Molecule: ribosomal RNA, 2902 nt
Filed under: Escherichia coli
Lineage: Bacteria; Pseudomonadati; Pseudomonadota; Gammaproteobacteria; Enterobacterales; Enterobacteriaceae
Description: bacterial LSU rRNA
Rfam family: Bacterial large subunit ribosomal RNA
Source: RNAcentral
UUAAGCGACUAAGCGUACACGGUGGAUGCCCUGGCAGUCAGAGGCGAUGAAGGACGUGCUAAUCUGCGAUAAGCGUCGGUAAGGUGAUAUGAACCGUUAUAACCGGCGAUUUCCGAAUGGGGAAAACCCAGUGUGUUUCGACACACUAUCAUUAACUGAAUCCAUAGGUUAAUGAGGCGAACGGGGGAACUGAAACAUCUAAGUACCCCGAGGAAAAGAAAUCAACCGAGAUUCCCCCAGUAGCGGCGAGCGAACGGGGAGGAGCCCAGAGCCUGAAUCAGUGUGUGUGUUAGUGGAAGCGUCUGGAAAGGCGCGCGAUACAGGGUGACAGCCCCGUACACAAAAAUGCACAUGCUGUGAGCUCGAUGAGUAGGGCGGGACACGUGGUAUCCUGUCUGAAUAUGGGGGGACCAUCCUCCAAGGCUAAAUACUCCUGACUGACCGAUAGUGAACCAGUACCGUGAGGGAAAGGCGAAAAGAACCCCGGCGAGGGGAGUGAAAAAGAACCUGAAACCGUGUACGUACAAGCAGUGGGAGCCUCUUUUAUGGGGUGACUGCGUACCUUUUGUAUAAUGGGUCAGCGACUUAUAUUCUGUAGCAAGGUUAACCGAAUAGGGGAGCCGAAGGGAAACCGAGUCUUAACUGGGCGUUAAGUUGCAGGGUAUAGACCCGAAACCCGGUGAUCUAGCCAUGGGCAGGUUGAAGGUUGGGUAACACUAACUGGAGGACCGAACCGACUAAUGUUGAAAAAUUAGCGGAUGACUUGUGGCUGGGGGUGAAAGGCCAAUCAAACCGGGAGAUAGCUGGUUCUCCCCGAAAGCUAUUUAGGUAGCGCCUCGUGAAUUCAUCUCCGGGGGUAGAGCACUGUUUCGGCAAGGGGGUCAUCCCGACUUACCAACCCGAUGCAAACUGCGAAUACCGGAGAAUGUUAUCACGGGAGACACACGGCGGGUGCUAACGUCCGUCGUGAAGAGGGAAACAACCCAGACCGCCAGCUAAGGUCCCAAAGUCAUGGUUAAGUGGGAAACGAUGUGGGAAGGCCCAGACAGCCAGGAUGUUGGCUUAGAAGCAGCCAUCAUUUAAAGAAAGCGUAAUAGCUCACUGGUCGAGUCGGCCUGCGCGGAAGAUGUAACGGGGCUAAACCAUGCACCGAAGCUGCGGCAGCGACGCUGAUGCGUUGUUGGGUAGGGGAGCGUUCUGUAAGCCUGUGAAGGUGUGCUGUGAGGCAUGCUGGAGGUAUCAGAAGUGCGAAUGCUGACAUAAGUAACGAUAAAGCGGGUGAAAAGCCCGCUCGCCGGAAGACCAAGGGUUCCUGUCCAACGUUAAUCGGGGCAGGGUGAGUCGACCCCUAAGGCGAGGCCGAAAGGCGUAGUCGAUGGGAAACAGGUUAAUAUUCCUGUACUUGGUGUUACUGCGAAGGGGGGACGGAGAAGGCUAUGUUGGCCGGGCGACGGUUGUCCCGGUUUAAGCGUGUAGGCUGGUUUUCCAGGCAAAUCCGGAAAAUCAAGGCUGAGGCGUGAUGACGAGGCACUACGGUGCUGAAGCAACAAAUGCCCUGCUUCCAGGAAAAUCCUCUAAGCAUCAGGUAACAUCAAAUCGUACCCCAAACCGACACAGGUGGUCAGGUAGAGAAUACCAAGGCGCUUGAGAGAACUCGGGUGAAGGAACUAGGCAAAAUGGUGCCGUAACUUCGGGAGAAGGCACGCUGAUAUGUAGGUGAAGCGACUUGCUCGUGGAGCUGAAAUCAGUCGAAGAUACCAGCUGGCUGCAACUGUUUAUUAAAAACACAGCACUGUGCAAACACGAAAGUGGACGUAUACGGUGUGACGCCUGCCCGGUGCCGGAAGGUUAAUUGAUGGGGUCAGCGCAAGCGAAGCUCUUGAUCGAAGCCCCGGUAAACGGCGGCCGUAACUAUAACGGUCCUAAGGUAGCGAAAUUCCUUGUCGGGUAAGUUCCGACCUGCACGAAUGGCGUAAUGAUGGCCAGGCUGUCUCCACCCGAGACUCAGUGAAAUUGAACUCGCUGUGAAGAUGCAGUGUACCCGCGGCAAGACGGAAAGACCCCGUGAACCUUUACUAUAGCUUGACACUGAACAUUGAGCCUUGAUGUGUAGGAUAGGUGGGAGGCUUAGAAGUGUGGACGCCAGUCUGCAUGGAGCCGACCUUGAAAUACCACCCUUUAAUGUUUGAUGUUCUAACGUUGACCCGUAAUCCGGGUUGCGGACAGUGUCUGGUGGGUAGUUUGACUGGGGCGGUCUCCUCCUAAAGAGUAACGGAGGAGCACGAAGGUUGGCUAAUCCUGGUCGGACAUCAGGAGGUUAGUGCAAUGGCAUAAGCCAGCUUGACUGCGAGCGUGACGGCGCGAGCAGGUGCGAAAGCAGGUCAUAGUGAUCCGGUGGUUCUGAAUGGAAGGGCCAUCGCUCAACGGAUAAAAGGUACUCCGGGGAUAACAGGCUGAUACCGCCCAAGAGUUCAUAUCGACGGCGGUGUUUGGCACCUCGAUGUCGGCUCAUCACAUCCUGGGGCUGAAGUAGGUCCCAAGGGUAUGGCUGUUCGCCAUUUAAAGUGGUACGCGAGCUGGGUUUAGAACGUCGUGAGACAGUUCGGUCCCUAUCUGCCGUGGGCGCUGGAGAACUGAGGGGGGCUGCUCCUAGUACGAGAGGACCGGAGUGGACGCAUCACUGGUGUUCGGGUUGUCAUGCCAAUGGCACUGCCCGGUAGCUAAAUGCGGAAGAGAUAAGUGCUGAAAGCAUCUAAGCACGAAACUUGCCCCGAGAUGAGUUCUCCCUGACCCUUUAAGGGUCCUGAAGGAACGUUGAAGACGACGACGUUGAUAGGCCGGGUGUGUAAGCGCAGCGAUGCGUUGAGCUAACCGGUACUAAUGAACCGUGAGGCUUAACCUU